UACGUAGGGGGCAAGCGUUGUCCGGAAUCAUUGGGCGUAAAGAGCGUGUGGGCGGCCAGAAAAGUCCGCUGUGAAAACUCGAGGCUCAACUUCGAGCUGUCGGUGGAAACUUUCUGGCUAGAGUCCGGAAGAGGAGAAUGGAAUUCCUGGUGUAGCGGUGAAAUGCGCAGAUAUCAGGAAGAACACCCGUGGCGAAGGCGGUUCUCUGGGACGGUACUGACGCUGAGACGCGAAAGCGUGGGGAGCGAACAGG
This 253-nucleotide ribosomal RNA is filed under the name uncultured bacterium. RNAcentral describes it as "partial 16S ribosomal RNA". It matches the Rfam family "Bacterial small subunit ribosomal RNA", at positions 524 to 776 of the family's 1533-position model. The record is from RNAcentral.